This 441-nucleotide ribosomal RNA is filed under the name uncultured bacterium. RNAcentral's name for it is "partial 16S ribosomal RNA". It matches the Rfam family "Bacterial small subunit ribosomal RNA", at positions 355 to 787 of the family's 1533-position model. The record is from RNAcentral.
UAGGGAAUCUUCGGCAAUGGACGAAAGUCUGACCGAGCAACGCCGCGUGAGUGAAGAAGGUUUUCGGAACGUAAAACUCUGUUGUUAGAGAAGAACGUUGCAUAGAGUGGAAAAUUAUGCAAGUGACGGUAUCUAACCAGAAAGGGACGGCUAACUACGUGCCAGCAGCCGCGGUAAUACGUAGGUCCCGAGCGUUGUCCGGAUUUAUUGGGCGUAAAGCGAGCGCAGGUGGUUUAAUAAGUCUGAUGUAAAAGGCGGUGGCUCAACCAUUGUGUGCAUUGGAAACUGUUAGACUUGAGUGCAGUAGAGGAGAGUGGAAUUCCAUGUGUAGCGGUGAAAUGCGUAGAUAUAUGGAGGAACACCGGUGGCGAAAAGCGGCUCUCUGGACUGUCACUGACACUGAGGCUCGAAAGCGUGGGUAGCAAACAGGAUUAGAUAGCC